GAUGAACGCUGGCGGCGUGCCUAAUACAUGCAAGUCGAGCGAACGGACGAGAAGCUUGCUUCUCUGAUGUUAGCGGCGGGCGGGUGAGUAACACGUGGAUAACCUACCUAUAAGACUGGGAUAACUUCGGGAAACCGGAGCUAAUACCGGAUAAUAUUUUGAACCGCAUGGUUCAAAGGUGAAAGACGGUCUUGCUGUCACUUAUAGAUGGAUCCGCGCUGCAUUAGCUAGUUGGUAAGGUAACGGCUUACCAAGGCAACGAUGCAUAGCCGACCUGAGAGGGUGAUCGGCCACACUGGAACUGAGACACGGUCCAGACUCCUACGGGAGGCAGCAGUAGGGAAUCUUCCGCAAUGGGCGAAAGCCUGACGGAGCAACGCCGCGUGAGUGAUGAAGGUCUUCGGAUCGUAAAACUCUGUUAUUAGGGAAGAACAUAUGUGUAAGUAACUGUGCACAUCUUGACGGUACCUAAUCAGAAAGCCACGGCUAACUACGUG
Molecule: ribosomal RNA, 497 nt
Filed under: uncultured bacterium
Lineage: Bacteria
Description: partial 16S ribosomal RNA
Rfam family: Bacterial small subunit ribosomal RNA
Source: RNAcentral